UCUCUUUGCUUCAUACCCACC
Molecule: non-coding RNA, 21 nt
Filed under: Caenorhabditis elegans
Lineage: Eukaryota; Metazoa; Nematoda; Chromadorea; Rhabditida; Rhabditidae
Source: RNAcentral